AGAUUGAACGCUGGCGGCAGGCCUAACACAUGCAAGUCGAGCGGCAGCACGGGUACUUGUACCUGGUGGCGAGCGGCGGACGGGUGAGUAAUGCCUAGGAAUCUGCCUGGUAGUGGGGGAUAACGCUCGGAAACGGACGCUAAUACCGCAUACGUCCUACGGGAGAAAGCAGGGGACCUUCGGGCCUUGCGCUAUCAGAUGAGCCUAGGUCGGAUUAGCUAGUUGGUGAGGUAAUGGCUCACCAAGGCGACGAUCCGUAACUGGUCUGAGAGGAUGAUCAGUCACACUGGAACUGAGACACGGUCCAGACUCCUACGGGAGGCAGCAGUGGGGAAUAUUGGACAAUGGGCGAAAGCCUGAUCCAGCCAUGCCGCGUGUGUGAAGAAGGUCUUCGGAUUGUAAAGCACUUUAAGUGGAGAGGCAGUUACCUAAUACGUAUCUGUUUGACGUUACGACAGAAUAAGCACCGGCUAACUCUGUG
This 481-nucleotide ribosomal RNA is filed under the name uncultured soil bacterium. RNAcentral's name for it is "bacterial SSU rRNA". It matches the Rfam family "Bacterial small subunit ribosomal RNA", at positions 26 to 507 of the family's 1533-position model. The record is from RNAcentral.